RNAcentral lists this ribosomal RNA (482 nucleotides) under uncultured Oscillospiraceae bacterium. RNAcentral describes it as "partial 16S ribosomal RNA". Lineage: Bacteria; Bacillati; Bacillota; Clostridia; Eubacteriales; Oscillospiraceae. The record is from RNAcentral.
CACGUAGUUAGCCGUGGCUUCCUCCUUAGCUACCGUCAUUAUCGUCACUAAGGACAGAGGUUUACAAUCCGAAAACCGUCUUCCCUCACGCGGCGUUGCUGCAUCAGGGUUUCCCCCAUUGUGCAAUAUCCCCCACUGCUGCCUCCCGUAGGAGUCUGGGCCGUGUCUCAGUCCCAAUGUGGCCGAUCAACCUCUCAGGUUCGGCUACCGAUCGUCGCCUUGGUAGGCCGUUACCCCACCAACUAGCUAAUCGGACGCGAGCCCAUCUAAAAGCGGAUUGCUCCUUUGAUCUCAGAACCAUGCAGUUCCGAGAUGUUAUGCGGUAUUAGCGACCGUUUCCAGUCGUUAUCCCCCUCUUCUAGGCAGGUUGCUCACGCGUUACUCACCCGUCCGCCACUAAGUUUGCUCCCGAAGAACAACUCCGUUCGACUUGCAUGUGUUAGGCACGCCGCCAGCGUUCGUCCUGAGCCAGGAUCAACUCU